CGGGCAGGCUGUUCCGUCGCCUUUUCAAUUGAAAGGGAGGAAAGUCCGGGCAGCAAAGGGCAACUCACCAUCUAACAGAUGGUCGCAUCAAACAAUGCGGGGAAAGUGCCACAGAAAAUAACCGUCCUAAUUUCGAUUAGGAUAAGGGUGAAAACGCGAGGUAAGCGCUCACGGCAUAGAUGGGUAACCAUUUGUGCGGGUAAACCCUGGGUGCUGAAAGGCCAAAUAGGUUUCCUAAUGUUUGACUUCGGUCAAAAUGCCAAUCGGCUCGAUUGGAUAUGGAAAUGGGUAGGCUGAUAGAGGUAAUUGGCAACAAUUAUCCCAGAUAAAUGGCGGAAACCAUGCGAUACAACCCCGCUUGGGGACAGAACCCGGCUUAUAGGCCUGCCUGUUUU
This 395-nucleotide RNase P RNA is filed under the name Bacteroidota bacterium. RNAcentral describes it as "Bacteroidetes bacterium (activated sludge metagenome) RNase P RNA component class A". It matches the Rfam family "Bacterial RNase P class A". Rfam says of the family: Ribonuclease P (RNase P) is a ubiquitous endoribonuclease, found in archaea, bacteria and eukarya as well as chloroplasts and mitochondria. Its best characterised activity is the generation of mature 5'-ends of tRNAs by cleaving the 5'-leader elements of precursor-tRNAs. The record is from RNAcentral. Lineage: Bacteria; Pseudomonadati; Bacteroidota.